This 433-nucleotide ribosomal RNA is filed under the name uncultured bacterium. Its description in RNAcentral is "partial 16S ribosomal RNA". It matches the Rfam family "Bacterial small subunit ribosomal RNA", at positions 29 to 507 of the family's 1533-position model. The record is from RNAcentral.
AACGAACGCUGGCGGUAUGCCUAACACAUGCAAGUCGAACGAGACCUUCGGGUCUAGUGGCGCACGGGUGCGUAACGCGUGGGAACCUGCCCUUAGGUUCGGAACAACUCCCCGAAAGGGGUGCUAAUACCGGAUAAUGUCUUCGGACCAAAGAUUUAUCGCCUUUGGAUGGGCCCGCGUUGGAUUAGCUAGUUGGUAGGGUAAAAGCCUACCAAGGCGACGAUCCAUAGCUGGUCUGAGAGGAUGAUCAGCCACACUGGGACUGAGACACGGCCCAGACUCCUACGGGAGGCAGCAGUGGGGAAUAUUGGACAAUGGGCGAAAGCCUGAUCCAGCAAUGCCGCGUGAGUGAUGAAGGCCUUAGGGUUGUAAAGCUCUUUUACCCGGGAUGAUAAUGACAGUACCGGGAGAAUAAGCUCCGGCUAACUCCGUG